This is a non-coding RNA of Mauremys mutica (yellowpond turtle), 82 nucleotides long. The record is from the annotation of a RefSeq genome assembly. NCBI's taxonomy places the organism in Eukaryota, Metazoa, Chordata, Testudines, Geoemydidae.
GUAGUUGUGGCCGAGUGGUUAAGGUGAUGGGCUAGAAAUCCACUGGGGUCUCCCUAUGCAGGUUCAAAUCCUGCCAACUACG